Molecule: transfer RNA, 77 nt
Filed under: Patescibacteria group bacterium
Lineage: Bacteria
Also listed under: 2 other names
Description: tRNA-Met
Rfam family: tRNA
About the family: Transfer RNA (tRNA) molecules are approximately 80 nucleotides in length. Their secondary structure includes four short double-helical elements and three loops (D, anti-codon, and T loops).
Source: RNAcentral
GGCGGGGUAGCUCAGUUGGUUAGAGCGUGGGACUCAUAAGCCCGAGGUCGUGGGUUCGAUCCCCACCCCCGCUACCA